This is a long non-coding RNA of Mirounga angustirostris (Northern elephant seal), 837 nucleotides long. RefSeq lists it as uncharacterized. The record is from RefSeq and is a predicted model, not a curated record. The transcript has 3 exons. Lineage: Eukaryota; Metazoa; Chordata; Mammalia; Carnivora; Phocidae.
CCCGUAUCUAGCCUCUUUCUUGGUUCCAACUUUACCUGGAUGGUGUUCUUGGCCAAGGCUGGCGUGAAGUCUUGGGAUAAUUGCUGGACUUUGUCAAAGAAGUGGGAGAGACUCGGGAAAGGAGACAUGGGGAGUCUUCAUGAAUGGGACCAUGUCUCUUCCUUUCCUGGGGGCAUAACUUCCAACCUCAUCAAUCAUCCAUGGGAGAAAAUGGGUCAGUGAUCUCAUGCUGUUGUGUGAUAACAUCUGGAUUCUAAGGGAUGGCGAAUGAACAAUACCAGCAUCACCCAUUUCGUACCUCCCACCUUUCAGAAAUGUCUUCCCCCUGCAGGAUCAGAGGACGCUCCACAGAUAAGCGGAUGUCCUGCCAGUCGUGUGGUUCAGGGUCACCAGUUCUUCUGCACAAACAUGCAUGUCCUUCAGACUCUUCCAGUGAUCUGGAAUGAAGCCCACAUAUAGUCACUUAUUCAUAAAGUCAUCAGAAAUAAACUUGAAUAACAGAAAGAUCAUGACUCCUCUCCUAUUUGUCAGAUCAUAUUCCACAAACAAAAAACAGCACAUGUUCUAAUUGCCUCAUGUCUGUUCACUCGGAUUAUUGUGUCAGUCAGCUCUUGCUGUAUAACAGGCUGUCCUUGUCAAAUGGGAUAUUAUACUGAUGCAGGGUGGCUGCAUUAUACUGAUGCAGGGUGGCUGAACACAAUGAUCAAGAAAGAAUUGUUGUGGGACGCCUGGCUCAGUUGUUUAGCGUCUGCCUUCGGCUCAGGUUAUGAUCCCAGGGUCCUGGGAUCGAGCCCCCCAUCAGGCUCCCUGCUCAGUGGGAAGCCUGCUUCUCUCCCU